Non-coding RNA from Rattus norvegicus (Norway rat), 10005 nucleotides. NCBI's taxonomy places the organism in Eukaryota, Metazoa, Chordata, Mammalia, Rodentia, Muridae. The record is from RefSeq and is a predicted model, not a curated record.
CUAAUGAGUCCUUUCUAGCAAAGGUGUCAUCUGCUCAUUGCUUCCCUGUCACCCCCUGAGGGCUCACCCUGAAAACAGGGCUAGUCUACUAUGCUCCUUGUAUAACCUUUGUGUUUCUGUCGUGGUGGGUUCCCUCACACGCCACCAUUAUUUUGGACACGCUUGGGUCCUGUGUCGUGCCCAUGCAACAGUCUUGGCUUUGAGAAGGCCCACCUUACCCUGAACUUGACGCCUGAUCUCCCAUCAGCCCUCACUGACUCUGAACUCAGCAGAUUCUUCCUUCAUCACCCCCCAAAUGCUCCAUGCCAUUUUCUUGGUGUAUGUGCUACACAUGCAUGUUUGCGUGAUGCAUGCACUUGCUCCUGCAGAUGUGUGUCCAUGGGUAUGUGAAGCCAUCGUCUGAUAAAUAGUCUCCUUAAUUUUUGAGACAAGGUUCCCUCACCAAACCUGAAUCUCUGAGUGGCCAGUGAAGUCAAUGCCCCUCUCCUCCCAGGGCUGAGGUUAUAGACACACACCCACGGUGCCUGGCUUUUUACAAAGGUACCAAAGACUUGAACCCAGAUCCUCUUGCUCACCCUUGAUGCUAAUUUCCGUGUUACCCGAUAGUUUACCUUCUUGCUUGGUCCCAUCCUUUUCGGGAAGUCGUCUUUUACACUUCCGCUCCACUUCGACACACCCUUUCUGAACUGGCCUACCCCACCCCCACGCCCACCCCCCACCUACUCUUGUCGGAUCUGCAACGUGGCGUUCAUGGAAUUUUCAAAGUGGAUCCUGAGUUCCGAUUUUUAUCUUGAGUUUCUUCCGGUGCCUGCCAGGAGGAAGAGCUACGGCAGUGAUGUGAUACCUGGUUCUCGUGGGGACUGAUCUGCGCAGGAAAAUACCAACUUGCGCAUGGACAUCUGGAGGCCGGAUGUUGACAUAGACGACUUCCUCUAUUGCUCUCCACCUUAUUUUCUGAGGCAGGGGCUCUCACUGGACCCGGAGCUCACUGAUUGGCUAGACUCGCCGACCCGGGAGCCCCUGGGAUCUUCCUGUCUCCAACCCCACCCAAGAGCUGGGGUUACAGACACAGGCCACCAUGACUGGCUUUUACCCAGGUGCUCAGGUUCCCAACUCAGGUCCUCAGGACCUUACCUACUGAGUCAAACUCCCCCCAACCCCCGCCACUUCCUCAUCCUUAACUCCUAAUUGGGGACCUGUCCGUGUUCCCUACUCCAAGCAGCGUAUUUGUCCUGUGUCAUUGUCUUUCUUCCCUCCCUCUCUUGUCUCUAUGGAGUCUCAUUCAGUCUCUUCAUAUCCCCUUCAGAGUGAUUAUUUGGCUUUCAGAAUGUCCUCCUGUGAACGAAAACCCCAUGAUCUUUCAUUGCAACCAUUAGCAUCAUCGUAUUUUCUACCUAUCAGGAAGCAAUCCAUGGAGAAUAACCAGCGAUGUGUAAUUUAUGAAAUGACCUCUGCCUGCGCUAAGAAAAAAAAAAUUAACACAUAAACGAGAGAUGAGAUCACAGCUCCGUUUAUUAUUAGGAUCUCAAAGGUGUCUGCACACACGUAAGAAGCGCCUCUUACCUUCUGGCAGUUUCUGAGUCCAGGUGUGCGGCCCCUGGCGUUGGCCUGAGAGUACACUGCAUGGACUUUGAGCCCCAAUCGACACCCGUUCACAGGGCUGCUAAAGCAGUACCGUCACCUGACCGGACACUGUGGACUAUGGACUCUUCUGCAUGCUCAGCGGGGCUGGGGAGGCUCUGAGAAAAUCUAAACGCAGGGCUGGGAAGAUCGCUCAGUCACUAAAGUGUGAGGACCUGGACUUGGAUCCCCAAAAGCCCACAUAAAAAAGCUAGACAUGGCAGUGUGCUCUUGCCAUCUCAGGACAAGGUUAGGGACAGGGUCAGGUGCAUCCUGGGAGCCACAGACUAGCAAGGUCAUCUUAAAAAUUAGAGUGGAGGGUGAUAGAGGAAAAUAUCUAACGACCUGCUCUGGCUGGGGCACACGUGUGCACACGGAGGCAAUGAAAGGUGAGGAAGGGGGAUUGGAGGGAGGAAAGGGAAGGAAGGGAAGGAGGGGAAGGAAAUGAAAAAGAACCCAAAGAAGGGAAGAGGAGGUAGACCAGCUCCAUUGGAUACUUAGAUCUGUCCACAGGUCGCACGUUUUAGCACUCGUACUCCUUGGUUCUCUGUGCAGGAAUAUCACACCUUACUCAGCACAGCCAUCGCCGUAACUGAUUCAUGAAAGCAAAAUUGCCCAACCAAUGGGCCAGAAAUAUCAUUGCUGUGAGCAUAAUUCCUCUCUCCGCCUAGGGAUCCAAGGCUAAUCGUGUUGGCUCUCCUGUCUUGUUUUCCUCAUGAAACCGGGAGGGCAAAGACAACAGAAGCCCGUGAUUCCCACAUUCGUGCACCCCGAAGGAAGAACGGGGGUGGGCCAAUCCACAAGCCAAAGGGCCAGAGAUUUAGAGACUCCGCCUCCUAGCAUGUCAGAACUAAUAUUUCCUGAACUUUUCACUCUCUACGCACGAGACGAAGGACUGAAAAUAAAUCACUCUCAAGCGUUCAGAAGAAGAGGGUGGGCUUCAGGUCAGGAGGCAAGCCUGCACACCACACAUGGACGCCACACUAACCUCUGUGUGCCUUGUAUGAGAGAGAUGUGUGCACAAGGAAAUGCAUCGUUUCCGGUGAAGGUGCCCAACUUCCUCCCCCUGGCAUCCCUGAGGCAGGUGUGUGCUAGAGACUGCCCUGACUGGGCAGGCAAAAGGAAGAUAUGUAGACAGGGAAGGGCAGAGUAACGAUCUCCAGCUUGCUAAAAUCUGAAUCCUGUCACCUACAAUGUUGGUUUUGGUGGGGGCUUUUUUUUGUUUUGUUUUGUUUUGUUUUGUUUUUGUUUUUAUUACAAAAACAAAUUAUAGAUUGGAAUCUCUGAGGCAGCCCUCUUCGCUGGGCUGCCCCAACAUGUUCUGCAAGGCAUAUCCCUCCUUCGUUCUUUGUCUCUGCCAAGCCACCCUAAUCAGGCCUUGAUGAGUCACGCCCCUGCUUCCAGUAGCUCCCACUGGCAACCUCAAUCCCUUGAGUUUGGCCAGCACAGCACCUCUGCUUCAGCGUUUGUGUGACUGGGCAAACGCCAUAGUUAUCACACCAUCCGCCCUCCCUUCAGCUCAUUGCAUCAGUAAUAGUGCUCCCUAUGCCCGAGGACAGACCUUUAGCUGGAAGCCCAUGAGCGAAGCCCUAUCUCUGUGUUCUGGGGUUGUUAGGACAUGGGCAUACCUAAAUCAUUCAGAGCAGAUAUCCUCUCGGUCACAGGGCAGAUAUCAGGACCUGGCCAAUGAGAAAGAAGAUGAGGACUCUCUCUCUUGCCCGGGUUCCCGAAGGGUGUUCUGGAAUCUAAGCACCAUAGGCAUUUCAUCCUGUCCUUAUGCUACAUGACCAUCACCACCCCCAGGAGGCCAACUCGCCAUGGUGCCCUUCGGAAAACCUGGAAUCCCAAUCAUGGCCAUGAGAUACAGAACAGUAUGUGCUGGCUGGGUCUGUGGCAAUGUGGUUGGUAGAAUUCCCUGGAGAAAGAGGUCUCACUAGACGCCCUCCUCGUUUCAGUCACUGCACCCACCUGGUGUAGCUGCAUGUGUUUUGGGGGUGCCAGACUAUACUGUUAAACCUACUAAGUCAGUGUCUUAGUUAGGGUCUUACUGCUGUGAACAGACACCAUGACCAAGGCAACUCUUGUAAGAACAUUUAAUUGGGGCUGGCUUACAGGUUCAGAGGUUCAGUCCAUUAGCAUCAAGGCAGGAGCAUGGCAGCAUCCGGGCAGGCAUGGUGCAGGAAGAGCUGUGUUCUACAUCUUAACCCGAAGGAAGCCAGGAACAGACUGAGCAGUCCCAGGCAGCUAGGAGAAGGGUCUCUAAGCCCACCCCCAUAUUGACAGACUUCCAGCAAGGCCACACCUUCUAAUGCCACUCCCUGGGUCAAGCAUACGCAAACCAUCACAGUCAGUAUUCUCUGAAUUUGCACAUGCAAGUACCAGAAAUGUUAAGAGGGAUCCUAGUAUGGGAGGGCAGGAGCAAGAGAGAAAAAAAACAGAAAAGUGGCCUUGAUGACCAAUUCUAGGUGGGCUAGUGUGCCCAAUUGUUUAGUCAAACCUGGUAAUGUCUGUGGAGGCACUUAAAUUUAUUAUUAUUAUUAUUUACUAUUAAUCAUUAAUUACUAUUAUAUUUUGCCAGAAUUAAUCAUAAAUAUUGAUAUUUAAAAUAGUAGGUGCUGAGUAAACGAGGCUUCAUCUAAUCAGCUGAAAGCUAUCAGGGCAGAACAAGGAUUCUCUCAGAAGGACAGAGACCUCAGCCUGACGGCACAGAAACCAGCCUGAGUUUGCGACCUGAAUACACUCAACUCCUUAGGGAAACACUGGUAUAUCAUUCGGUGUAUAGAGUGUGGACUCCUGCUCCCCAGUUCCCCCCUGUAUGUGUGCAAGGGCUUGCUCCCAUGUGCGCACACGGAGGACAGAGAAGCGUGUCAAGUGUCCUGUUCUCUCACUCUCUACUCUAGUCCCUUGAGACUCCCUCUCUCUAAACUUGGGCUAAGGCAGGCAGCCAGCAAGCCCCAGCAGUUCCCUGUGUGUGCCCUCACAGCCUUGUGGUUGCAGAUGGGCACGCAGCCAUCCGUGCCUGUCUCUGCGUAAGCAUUGUGGAUUCGAAUUCAGGUCCUCGAGCUUAGGGAGCAAGCGUUCUUACCCGACGAUCCACCUUCCCAUCCCUGUGAAAGUUGGGUCUUUAAGAUACGUCGCUCACGGGGUGCAGGCUCUGGCCUGUAAUUAGAGCACUUACACUGGGGAGCCCUGUGUCCACAGCCAGUUUGAGUUGCAAAACCCUGACUCAAAAAUCCCCAAAUUCUUCAAAAUGAAAUGAAGAUCCCGGAGCAGUGAUUGAGAACCCACUUCCUUCCAGAGAACCCAAGCUUGGUUCCCAGUACCCACAUCAGGUAACUCACAGACCCCUGUAACUAUGGGGGGCUGGUUCAGUUCCCACCUCUGGCCUCUUUGGGACACACACACACACACACACACACACACACACACACACACACACAUAUUUAAAAAUAUAAAAGGGCCCAUGAGAUGUAUCAGUGGAUGAGGGUCCCCAUACCUGACGUCCUGAGGUCAGUCCUUGGGACACACAUGGCUUAAGGAGAGAACUGACUCCUGCAAACUGUUUUUAACUUCCGCCGCACGGUGCUGCAAGCAUCCUCACUCUCCCAGAUAGGGGUGGGAGCAGGGGAUCCAGGCAUGGUGGCUCACGCCUGUCAUCCAAGCAAUUGUGGGACUAAGGCAGUAGUAGACUUGCACUAGGAAGUCCAAGGCCAGCCUGGGCUCCAUAUAGAGACCCUGGCUCAGAAAACUAUAAUAAGGGCUGGAGAGAAAGCUCAUCAGUUAGAACAUUAGCUGCCCUCCCAGUGGGCUUGGCUUCAAUUCUCAACACAUCGGUACAAUACCCGUACACAUGAAAGGAAAAUAAAUAAAUCCUUUGAAACAUUGAUAAUAAUAAUAAUAAUAACAACUAAUGGUGAUAAUUCCCUAUAUAGACAUGUUAGUUUCCUUUAACUUGAGGAUGUCAGUGAACCCUGUGACACCAUAUUUGUUCACUGGGAUGGAACGGACCCUGGGACAUUGAUUUCAGAGGCGAUGCUGGGGUAAGAGAACGUGUCCUUAGGCUCUAAAGGUUUUGAAGCACAGUUCAGAAAAGAAGCCAAGAUAAGGUCAUGAAGUCAGAUUAGGUAGACGCUGCAAGGUGACUGACAGGAAGUCUAAGGCAGGCAGAAGAGCCCUCCUCUCAGGACCAGUGAUUAUGACAGGAAUCUCCUUUUCUAAAGGAGGCCUGAAGGUGGAGGGAAACCUGAUGGGAUUCUGGUGAGCUGAGGUGGAGCCCGGUGUCUUGCAACAGGCUACAAGAGAGGGAAGCAGCAACGGGAGCUACGGAUUAAUGCCCAUGGAAACUUCUAGAAGCUUUCUAAGAGCAAUGCACACCCGGUCCUGGGUGGAGAAGGAGACUUAGUCACAUGAGAGCUCAGCGAUACAGGGUGACCCUGAGUCUCCAACAACACGAGUCCCUUUUCCUGCCUGGAGUGGCCUGGGGACUGAUGAGUGGGAGCCUCCAUGGUAGCACCUGGGAGCUUAGGGCAGAGAUGGUUUAGUUUCCCCUCCUCUAGCUACUCAUGCCCUUUCUCGGUUCUCUCUUGAUAGGGGGAACACCUCCCCAGUGUUUUUAUGGCGUCUGACAAAGACAUUUAAAAGGGACCACAAGGCAGUUGGGCAGUGUUAACAGCCCUGCGAAAGCCCUCAGCACAGCUGAACAAAGACACCACAUGACACCACUAAUCACUUCCAGGCCUUCUCCAUAUUCUCAUGUCUAUGUCCGCUUGGACUUCCCGUAGGACCAAGUGUGAAGGACAGCAGGUUACCGUGGCAAGUCCUCUCAGCCUUGCCGCAAAGCAGACCUGUAGCCUCUCCGGGAACUUUUGACUUCCUGGCUCUUGCUGUGAAUCUCAUGGCAGAGAUCCUGCAGGAAACUGGGUCAGAGGACCCAGUGACUUCCAACUAUAGCUGAACCAUGAGAACCAGACUCCAGAAAACUCUUCUCAUGAAGGUUUGAGAGCACCAUCAGGUCAGAGUAGAACUACUCUGUGUUAUAACGUACUCAUGAUGAGGGGUUCCAAUCUAAUCCCUGAAGCAAAGCUUGGAAAGGUAACACCAAGUCAAAUAACAGUAACAAACAAGAAUAACGUGUUUGCGUUGCUCUGCGGCUCACGGUGCAUGUUCAUGGUUGCUGCUGUGUUGUACUGACAUCUCUAGUCCCUCCAGACCUGAGGCACAAAGAGGCCAAACUGGUGAGGCUGCCCAUCUUGGCUUUUUGGCCUUCACAACUGUGGGCUAAAGGGGUCAGGGGCUGUUUCUCCGUUUAUAGAAUGCUGUCUACAAUGCAUGGGGCUCUGGGUUCCACUCUCAGGACUCUGUAACCUGGGAGUGGUGGUACAUGUUUAUCAUCCCAGCAUGGGAAGAGAAGGCAGGAGGAUCAGAAGUUGAAGGUCAUCCUUGCCUACAUAGGGAGCUCGGAGCCAGCCUAGAAUAGGUGAGCGCCUAUCUCAAACUAAUUAAAACAAAACUGUGAGAUAAACAGAAGUUUUCUUUAUGAAGUACCCAGCCAUGGGUAUUAGUGGGGACAAUUCAAUCCAUAUACGUUUGGCAGAAAAGUAUUCCAAGGAGAGGUCACACACAAAGAUCCUGAGGUAGGAGCAUGCUUGGCAAUUUGAGGAACAAGGAAGCCUGGCUGUCAAAACAGAAUGAGCAAAAACAGCAGCCCUGCCCGGGAGGUGGGAGAGCCUUGUAAGCCUCUGCAUUUGACACUAAAGGAGACUUUUUUUUGUAAAGGGCACCAGAGGGAUGUUAGUAAGGGAGAAAGAAGAUCAACGAUCAGACCUACGUUAAAAGGAAAUUAAAGGGUUCGUUGUUGUUGUAUGUGUGGGUGUUUUUGUAUGGAUGUCUGUGCAUCCCCUGUGUGCAAUGCCCAUGGAGGCCAGAAGAGGGCAUCGGACACCCAGGAACUGGAGUUACAGGUGGUUGUGAGGCACCAUGUGGGCACUGGAAAUCAAACGUCCCUCUUCUGGAAGAGCAGCCUCUUCACUGCUGAGCUUCCACUCCAUUCCCCAGGCCCACAUUUUAAAGACUCCUCCAUCUGCCCGGUUUGAGAAUAAGCUUCAGAGGACAUGGGCAGGACCUGGAAGAAGGGCUAUGAAGCAUCUGAGGUAUUCUACACGAGGCCCGGAAGUGGCUCUACCCAGUUUCCAACAUGUUGUUUGUCCUCUUCCUAUUUAUUUGAGACAGGGUCUCCUAUAUCACAAGCUGGUCCAGAACUAGCCACAUCGCUAAGGGUGGCCUUGCACUUUUGAUCCUCCCAAAAACUAGUCCUGCACAAGGAUGUGCUGAUUAACCAGAUAGUUAUGAUAAAACCCUAGCGAGGUCGCUCCCAGGCUUAUGGCCCAGGCAAUGGGAAGGCCUUCUCGACUUGCAUGAAGAUUGGGAAAACAGAGGGGAGGGGACAUGAGAACAGGAGCUCCAUUUCGGGUAUAUCAUAAUGGGUUUGAAAAACCAACUAGACAGCUCACUGGAUUGGAUGAACGAGCUGCUUGACACAGGGUGGUUGGCCCUUAAAGGGGAAGCUGAACCUAGAGAUGGUUUGGAGGACAUCUGUAUGUGUGUAUGAUUCAAACACUUGAUGGUUUGUGAAAUGAUCAGAGAGAAAUGUGGGCAGAAAUGAAUGAGUCCAGAGGCACUCUAAUAGGAGGGAUGGGAAGGCAGUCAGAUGGGUGGCAGGGUAGCAAUCAUUUCUGCAAGCAAAGCGAAGACAUGUCCUUUUUGCACCUGAUCUAGUCACAAGGGACAUACCAUCUCAAGUCACCAAGCAUUAAGCAGCACUGAUUGUGUUAAUCCCUCUGUAAGGCCAAGAGGUAAGCCACCCUGCCCUCAACCUGUUUCUGAGAAGACUAAACGCAAAAGCUUUAGCGAGAGAGGGAGAUACCAUUUCAGUUUAAGCCAUCAGACCCUAGCCCAUAUUCUUUGUGUGUGUGUGUGAGGAGGGGGAGGGUGGGGACAUGGGUAAGCAUAGGUGUAUGUGUGCAUUGUGUAUGCAAGUGCAUCAAAUACACUUGACCGUGUGUGUGUGUGUGUGUGUGUGUGUGUGUGUGUGUGUGUGUGUCCUCUAUUGCUCUCCACGUUACUUUUGAGUCAAGAUCUCUUCUCCAACAUGAAGCACAACGAUUAGCUAGAUUGGUUGGCCAACCAGCCUGCCUCCCAGUGCAGUUUCCAUUGUGUACCAGCCUUUCUGCAGAGGUCACACCGUGUACCGUCAAACCCAGCUUUCUUGCAUGGGUGCUAAGAUCCGAACACGGGUCUUCACGCUUUCACAGCGAAGACUCUACCAGCUGAGUCACGUCCCCAGUCCCUGUUCCUUACCAGGAGGCACAUGCAUGAGGGACAUAUUAGCCGAACAAUUUAAUGAAGAUAAUGAUGCCCAGUGAUCAGGUGGGAGUCUGGUUGGAAGCUCUCUCUCUCCAGUUGCCAUUCUUACACAUGCCCUCUCUUUGCUGCUCCAACGUCUGGGAUUCAUCUGGGCCAUGGAGCAUCCCAAUCUCAUCCCAUUGGUCCACAACCUCAGCAGACACCACAAGAGAAACACCUGGGGCUAACUGGGUGACCUGGUUUGCCACUGACACCUUGACUAAGUUCCUUCUCCAGCUAGAAAGUUGUGGUUUGACCAACUCUUCAUGACUUCCAUGUUUUGGGUUUUUUUUUUAAUGGAUCUAUUGGCUCCAGGGCAAAGAUAUAUGGUUCGUCAGAAAAUAAAAGAAAUUUUAUACAUAGAACGUCUUCCCUUCCUCUAUUUGUGGAUCAUAUUUUUAUUUCCAACGGUGUCAUUUAUUCCCUAAGGUCAUUGAUGAAAUCAGUGAGCUUGCACAGGGUACCGUAUUGUAUUGAUACCCAAUGAAAAACAGCCUUUGAUCCCCCAGCAGGAGGCGCCCUGUAGGACCCUGCUCUCUAGGAGUGAGUACAGCAGGGGGCGCCCUGCUCUCCCAUGUUUCAGAGGGACUCCUUGUUACCCACAUUCGCAUAAUAGCUGAAAAUGUUUAUUUGGUAUAACCCAGCCCCCUGUUAUCAUACACCUAGUGCUUUUUUGGGGUCAGAACCCUGUCGUGGAGCUCCUUUAUGGGGUGAAUACAUAGCACUGUGUUUUGUUGUCUUAAUAAUUAAGAGAACCGUACACAAUGCCCUGAGAUGCUCACGGUCUACGAAGAUUCCCCAGCCCUGUGUGGCAGCUGUUGUGUGCAGCAUAAGCGUACUCCCAAUGGAACUUAAGACUUAGGUCUCAGCACAGGAUUCCCCUGUCCCCAGGAGAACAGCCUCAGAGAAAGAACAGGAAAGUUCUCUCAGAAGUUUGAACCAGGAAGCCUUCAAGUUUCCUUGAUAAAAUGUGGACACAGUGCC